GGCAAGACUGUCAAGACGGCGGUGGUGGCCAGAUUUUAAUGCUGUCUUGCUGUCCUGUCUUUAUACUGUCAGUGUCCGAGACGCAUCAGGUAACGAACAACGUAACAUUAUUAGUUUGUUUGUAUUUAAAAGUCACUUACUCUGCACGCUGUCGCAUCAGAAGGUUCUGAACAAGAGAACUCUUCAUCAACGUUAAUUGUAUGGGUGCAAUUUUCCACUUUGGAGCUUUUUGUAUAUGCAUUUUUAAAAUUUUGAUUAACAUGAGACACCCCACUUUCGAGGUAUUACAGGGGCACAAACGCAGUCGAGAAUUAUUCACAGAUUUACUGCAAGACGACGGUUUCACGCCAUUCACGUCACGGUCCGCGUGUUCGUUACGAUCACACACACUUUCAGUCGUUUUAAACUGUGUAAAGCGCCUACAUGGGAUGAUGCGGUGUCAGUGUGCCGGACAUAUUAAUAGCACUCAGAAUAUAAAAUUCACAGUCUUCAGCACGUGACAGCUGUGGACUGCAGGGCAAAGUGACAUCUGCGAGGAAUGCAUGUGGAGAUUUGCUGAAUUCCUGGACGGCGGAACGAACCGUGCCACGAGCGAAGGCGUGGACGCGUCGUGGUCAAUGUGUGCAGGUAACUUCAGGCCUUGCAUGUGCUUCAUCUCUGCAGCCAGCCAGCCAGCCUCCUCUCCGGCACGGUGCCACUGAACAGGAUACACUCUGUGUGUCACACUCCCUUUUCCAGUCGUCUCGACGUCUCAUGGCCCUGCAUUAGGAAUCAGUGAACCAGCCCUCUUCUCCUUCUUCUUCUUCUCCUUCUCCACCCCCCACCUCCCUCUCCCUCUCUCUCUCUCCCAGCCAGGAUCACGUCAGUUUGGGCGCACCUUCCGCUUUGACAGUUGCGUAAUAAGACCGGCCUCUAUCGCUUUAACCCUGCAGUGUGUGUAGUAAUACUCUAAUCUACAGUCAAAUGGACAAUAACUAACCUCAAGA
This is a long non-coding RNA of Larimichthys crocea (large yellow croaker), 986 nucleotides long. RefSeq lists it as uncharacterized. The transcript has 2 exons. Lineage: Eukaryota; Metazoa; Chordata; Actinopteri; Sciaenidae. The record is from RefSeq and is a predicted model, not a curated record.